GCCGGGGUGGUGGAAAUGGCAGACACAUACGUUUGAGGGGCGUAGGCCGAAAGGUGUGCGGGUUCAACUCCCGCCCCCGGCA
This 82-nucleotide transfer RNA is filed under the name bacterium. RNAcentral's name for it is "tRNA-Leu". It matches the Rfam family "tRNA". Rfam says of the family: Transfer RNA (tRNA) molecules are approximately 80 nucleotides in length. The record is from RNAcentral. RNAcentral also lists the same sequence under 1 other name.